GGCGUCGGCGAGCGCAGCAGCAGCGGCAAAAGCGGCAGCGUGAGGCAGCGGAAUCGCGCGACGUGUGGCAGCGGCUUCCGAGCGUCGUUCCGGCCGUUUCCGGUGGCCUUUCCGGCCGAUCUCGGUGGCGAUCAACUCCCCUUGGAGAGAGCUUCCUUUUGGCGGCAGCGGCGUCGGUUUUGGUGGCCGGAGGAGAGAGUUCCGGCGAAGUGGAGGCAGCCGCGUUUUUGGGCUUUUCCGGCGAGCUCCGGCGGAGGAUGGAUGAUCGGAGGACGUAUCCCGACUCUCCUCAGCUCAAGCUUCGCGAUGGCACUGGUUUCGUGGCGAUCGGGCUUCGUUGGCAAAUCGACGGUCGAGAUCGUCC
Molecule: long non-coding RNA, 364 nt
Filed under: Ricinus communis (castor bean)
Lineage: Eukaryota; Viridiplantae; Streptophyta; Magnoliopsida; Malpighiales; Euphorbiaceae
Description: long non-coding RNA (RCOM_LNC003134)
Source: RNAcentral